AAAAAAAAAAAAAAAAGCCAAAACUUGGUGACUGGGGAGACAGGGAAAUGCAUCUUGUAUAGAUGUAGAGAACAUGGAGAAAUCAAGCUGGUACUGACCUACGAGCUUCCUUCCUGCUAGCUGGGUUUUAUAUGCAGACUGUUGGAGAAAACCCAUCAACAGUCAGACGCAGCUGUGAACCUUGCAAAUGACAACAACGACUGACCUGAUGAGAAAGAGCCACGUGUGCAAGAGUGGCAUGAGCACUAGGGGAAAUCCACAGCUCUCUAAUCACACUGAAGCCCUGUCCUACAGAGGAGACUCAUCCCUGGAACUAUAAUCAAGACCACGACCCUGUGCUGAUGAGAUCACAGGCCAGACUACUAUUAGUCUGCUGAGUAGGCACAGAAUUAAAGUGCCUCCUAAGUAUGUCCUUAUAGACAGUGUAACUCCCAACUUCACCAGAGAAGCUUCUUCAUGCAGUGCAUAGUGAUUAAUAGAGAGACGAACAACCAGUCCAAGUACGGAGAAUUAUGUGCCCAUGGAAGGCUCAGUCCAAAACAGGACAUCCAGGUCACACAUUUUCCUCCACAAGGCUGAGAGAACACUGUAGAAGAGGGAGUGGAAAUAUUCUUAAGUCAAAUGUCACGAAAGACUACUGCAAAGGUCUCAGAAGAUUCUUCAAUCCUCUUCUCCAGCUCCAGGACAGCCUCCUCCUUGUUUAAGAGCAUCUGCUGUGUCUGCGUGAGCUCUUCUGCUAAAGUCUUCAACCUGGAAGGAGGAGCCACCAUUACCACCAACACAUUAAAGGUGAUGAUCUGCACAUACACAAACUUAUGAAGUCGCAAAGUCCGAAAGAGCAGCCACCUGGAAUCUACUUUAAGGAAAAAUUGCAGUUCCUUGGUUACAUUAGCCAUGUUCCAGAUGCUAAACAGAAAUGUGGCUACUUUACUUUCUACUGGAUGACACAGAAAACAUUUCAAUACUCAAAGUGAGUAUUCUGGAAACUAGAUAAAACUGUACGUAAUGUUA
Long non-coding RNA from Peromyscus eremicus (cactus mouse), 1011 nucleotides. RefSeq lists it as uncharacterized. The transcript has 3 exons. NCBI's taxonomy places the organism in Eukaryota, Metazoa, Chordata, Mammalia, Rodentia, Cricetidae. The record is from RefSeq and is a predicted model, not a curated record.